AAAAAACUAGUUUAAAUAAAAUAAGUUGUUUACACCAACUUGAUACUAUUAUUUUAGUAGUGUUUUUUA
This 69-nucleotide transfer RNA is filed under the name Conchocele cf. bisecta HPD1644. RNAcentral describes it as "tRNA-Val". The record is from RNAcentral. Lineage: Eukaryota; Metazoa; Mollusca; Bivalvia; Lucinida; Thyasiridae.